RNAcentral lists this ribosomal RNA (253 nucleotides) under uncultured bacterium. Its description in RNAcentral is "partial 16S ribosomal RNA". It matches the Rfam family "Bacterial small subunit ribosomal RNA", at positions 524 to 776 of the family's 1533-position model. The record is from RNAcentral.
GACGAACCGAGCGAACGUUAUUCGGAAUCACUGGGCUUAAAGGGCGCGUAGGCGGGCGGUCAAGUCAGGGGUGAAAGCCUCCAGCUCAACUGGAGAAGUGCCUCUGAUACUGGCCGUCUCGAGGGAGGUAGGGGCGUGCGGAACUUCCGGUGGAGCGGUGAAAUGCGUAGAUAUCGGAAGGAACGUCGGUGGCGAAAGCGGCGCGCUGGACCUCUUCUGACGCUGAGGCGCGAAAGCCAGGGGAGCAAACGGG